RNAcentral lists this ribosomal RNA (490 nucleotides) under uncultured bacterium. RNAcentral's name for it is "partial 16S ribosomal RNA". It matches the Rfam family "Bacterial small subunit ribosomal RNA", at positions 30 to 507 of the family's 1533-position model. The record is from RNAcentral.
AUUGAACGCUGGCGGCAGGCCUAACACAUGCAAUUCGAACGGUAACAGGAAACAGCUUGCUGUUUCGCUGACGAGUGGCGGACGGGUGAGUAAUGUCUGGGAAACUGCCUGAUGGAGGGGGAUAACUACUGGAAACGGUAGCUAAUACCGCAUAACGUCGCAAGACCAAAGAGGGGGACCCUCGGGCCUCUUGCCAUCGGAUGUGCCCAGAUGGGAGUAGCUUGUUGGUGGGGUAACGGCUCACCAAGGCGACGAUCCCUAGCUGGUCUGAGAGGAUGACCCGCCACACUGGAACUGAGACACGGUCCAGACUCCUACGGGAGGCAGCAGUGGGGAAUAUUGCACAAUGGGCGAAAGCCUGAUGCAGCCAUGCCGCGUGUAUGAAGAAGGCCUUCGGGUUGUAAAGUACUUUCAGCGGGGAGGAAGGGAGUAAAGUUAAUACCUUUACUCAUUGACGUUACCCGCAGAAGAAGCACCGGCUAACUCCGUG